Molecule: non-coding RNA, 30 nt
Filed under: Rattus norvegicus (Norway rat)
Lineage: Eukaryota; Metazoa; Chordata; Mammalia; Rodentia; Muridae
Source: RNAcentral
UCGGUGGAAAGAAUUUCAGAUGUAUUUGUA